UUGUGUAUAUGUCUUGUCCUUUUUUGUCCUUAUUUUUUCCUUUAGGUGUGCGCCAGGACUUGGCCAUACCAGGUAUAUAUGUUUUGUUAAGGUCUUUGUGUAUAUGUCUUGUCCUUUUUUGUCUUAUUUUUUUUCCUUUAGGUUGUGUGGCCCAGGACUUGGCCAUACCAGGUAAUAUGUUAUGUUAAGGUCUUUGUGUAUAUGUCUUGUCCUUUUUUUCCUUAUUUUUUUUCCUUUAGGUUGUGCGACCAGGACUUGGCCAUACCAGGUAUAUAUGUUAUUGUUAAGUCUUUGUGUAUAUGUCUUGUCCUUUUUGUCCUAUUUUUUUCCUUUAGGUUGUGGCGACCAGGACUUGGCCAUACCAGGUAUAUAUGUUAUGUUAAGGUCUUUGUGUAUAUGUCUUGUCCUUUUUUUGUCCUUAUUUUUUUCCUUUAGGUUGUGCGACCAGGACUUGCCAUACCAGGUAUAUAUGUUAUUGUUAAGGUUUUUGUUAUUACUGUCUUGUCCUUUUUUUUCCUUUAGGUUGUCGGCCCAGGACUUGGCCAUACCAGGUAUAUAUGUUAUUGUUAGGUCUUUGUGUGUAUAUGUUUUCCUUUUUUUGUCCUUAUUUUUUCCUUUAGGUUGUUCGGCCAGGACUUGGCCAUACCAGGUAUAUAUGUUAUUGUUAAGGUCUUUGUGUAUAUGUCUUGUCCUUUUUUUGUUUUUUUUCCUUUAGGUUGUGCGCCCAGGACUUGGCCAUACCAGGUUAAUAUUUAUUGUUAAGCGUUUGUGUAUAUGUCUUGUCCUUUUUUUGUCCUUAUUUUUUUCCUUUAGGUUGUGCGGCCCAGGACUUGCCAUACCAGGUAUAUAUGUUAUUGUUAAGGUCUUUGUGUAUAUGUCUUGUCCUUUUUUUCCUUAGUUGCUAGCCAGGUGUGGCCAUACCAGUAUAUAUGUUAUUGUUAAGGUCUUUGUGUAAUGUCUUGUCCUUUUUUGUCCUUAUUUUUUUUCCUUUAGGUUGUGGACCCAGGACUUGGCCAUACCAGGUAUAUAUGUUAUUGUUAAGGUCUUUGUGUAUAUGUCUUGUCCUUUUUUGUCCUUAUUUUUUUUCCUUUAGGUUGUCGACCCAGGACUUGGCCAUACCAGGUAUAUAUGUUAUUGUUAAGGUCUUUGUGUAUAUGUCUUGUCCUUUUUUUGCCUUAUUUUUUUUCCUUUAGGUUGUGGACCCAGGACUUGGCCAUACCAGGUAUAUAUGUUAUUGUUAAGGUCUUUGUGUAUAUGUCUUGUCUUUUUGUCCUUAUUUUUUUCCUUUAGGUUGUGCGGCCCAGGACUUGGCCAUACCAGGUAUAUAUGUUAUUGUUAAGGUCUUGUGUAUAUGUCUUGUCCUUUUUUGUCCUUAUUUUUUUUCCUUAGGUUGUGCGCCAGGACUUGCCUAACCAGGUAUAUAUGUUAUUGUUAAGGUUCUUUGUGUAUCUGUCUUUUGUCCUUUUUUUCCUUUAGAUUGUUCGGCCCAGGACUUGGCCAUACCAGGUUCAGGUAUAUAUGUUAUUGUUAAGGUCUUUGUGUAUAUGUCUUGUCCUUUUUUUGUCCUUAUUUUUUUUCCUUUAGGUUGUGCGACCCAGGACUUGGCCAUACCAGGUAUAUAUGUUAUUGUUAAGGUCUUUUGUGUAUAUGUCUUGUCCUUUUUUUUCCUUUAGGAUGUACGGCCCAGGACUUCGCCAUACCAGGUAUAUAUGUUAUUGUUAAGGUCUUUGUGUAAGUUUCAUGUCCUUUUUUUGCCCCUAUUUUUUUUCCUUUAGGUUGUACGGCCCAGGACUUGGCCAUACCAGGUAUAUAUGUUAUUGUUAAGGUCUUUGUGUACAUUUCUGUCCUUUUUUUGCCCCUAUUUUUUUUCCUUUAGGUUGUGCAGCCCAGGACUUGGCCAUACCAGGUAUAUAUGUUAUUGUUAAGGUCUUUGUGUAUGUGUCUCAUGUCUUUUUUUGCCCCUAUUUUUUUUCCUUUAGGUUGUGCGGCCCAGGACUUGGCCAUACCAGGUAUAUAUGUUAUUGUUAAGGUCUUUGUGUAGUGUCUGUCAUUUUUUUGCCCCUAUUUUUUUCCUUUAGGUUGUGCGGCCCAGGACUUGGCCAUACCAGGUAUAUAUGUUAUUGUUAAGGUCUUUGUGUAAGUUUCAUGUCCUUUUUUUGCCCCUAUUUUUUUCCUUUAGGUUGUACAGCCCAGGACUUGGCCAUACCAGGUAUAUAUGUUAUUGUUAAGGUCUUUGUGUAUCAUGUCUUGCCCCUUUUUUUUUCCCUUUAGGUUGUGCAGCCCAGGACUUGGCCAUACCAGGUAUAUAUGUUAUUGUUAAGGUCUUUGUGUAAUGUCUCAUGUCCUUUUUUUGCCCCUAUUUUUUUCCUUUAGGUUGUGCAGCCCAGGACUUGGCCAUACCAGGUAUAUAUGUUAUUGUUAAGGUCUUUGUGUAUUUCUGUCAUUUUUUUGCCCCUAUUUUUUUCCUUUAGGUUGUGCAGCCCAGGACUUGGCCAUACCAGGUAUAUAUGUUAUUGUUAAGGUCUUUGUGUUGUGUCUGUCUUUUUUUGCCCCUUAUUUUUUUUUCCUUUAGGUUGUGCGGCCCAGGACUUGGCCAUACCAGGUAUAUAUGUUAUUGUUAAGGUCUUUGUGUAAUGUCUGUCCUUUUUUUGCCCCUAUUUUUUUCCUUUAGGUUGUGCAGCCCAGGACUUGGCCAUACGAGGUAUAUAUGUUAUUGUUAAGGUCUUUGUGUGUGUUUCAUGUCUUUUAUUUGCCCCUUUUCUUUUCCUUUAGGUUGUGCAGCCCAGGACUUGGCCAUACCAGGUAUAUAUGUUAUUAUUAAGGUCUUUGUGUAAGUCUCAUGUCCUUUUUUUGCCCCUAUUUUUUUUCCUUUAGGUUGUGCAGCCCAGGACUUGGCCAUACCAGGUAUAUAUGUUAUUGUUAAGGUCUUUGUGUAUAUAUGUCUUGUCCUUUUUUGUCCUUAUUUUUUUUCCUUUAGGUUGUGCGACCCAGGACUUGGCCAUACCAGGUAUAUAUGUUAUUGUUAAGGUCUUUGUGUAUAUGUCUUGUCCUUUUUUUGUCCUUAUUUUUUUUCCUUUAGGUUGUGCGACCCAGGACUUGGCCAUACCAGGUAUAUAUGUUAUUGUUAAGGUCUUUUGUGUAUAUGUCUUGUCCUUUUUUUGUCCUUUUUUUUUCCUCUAGGUUGUUCGGCCCAGUACUUGGCCAUACCAGGUAUAUAUAUGUUAUUGUUAAGGUCUUUGUGUAUAUGUCUUGUCCUUUUUUUGUCCUUAUUUUUUUUCCUUUAGGUUGUGCGACCCAGGACUUGGCCAUACCAGGUAUAUAUGUUAUUGUUAAGGUCUUUGUGUAUAUGUUCUUGUCCUUUUUUUGUCCUUAUUUUUUUCCUUUAGGAUGUACGGCCCAGGACUUCGCCAUACCAGGUAUAUAUGUUAUUGUUAAGGUCUUUGUGUAAGUUUCAUGUCCUUUUUUUGCCCCUAUUUUUUUCCUUUAGGUUGUACAGCCCAGGACUUGGCCAUACCAGGUAUAUAUG
RNAcentral lists this long non-coding RNA (3526 nucleotides) under Mytilus galloprovincialis (Mediterranean mussel). Lineage: Eukaryota; Metazoa; Mollusca; Bivalvia; Mytilida; Mytilidae. The record is from RNAcentral.